Long non-coding RNA from Equus caballus (horse), 4088 nucleotides. The record is from Ensembl. Lineage: Eukaryota; Metazoa; Chordata; Mammalia; Perissodactyla; Equidae.
CUUCUCAGAAUGCUGUUGCUAGAGAUGGCAGUGUGGAGAGAGCUAGCCCCAACCCUCAACCCAUGCCCUUCUCUUCUCAGCCCAGGCUCCAUCUGCACCAUGAGGAGCAGUGUGUGUGUGUGUGGACACCUAGCCCAUAAGUGCAAGCUGUUGUCACCCACUCUCUCGUGAACUGUCACUCUCUGACACACCUAAAGGGAGAACAGAUGCAGGGAAGAGACCUGUGCAGGUAAUCCAGAUCUGAGCUCAGAGUGCUGUUCUGGAGUCUCUGUUACUCCAGUCUAGCCCUGUUGCACAGUGGUAUUGACACGAAGUCCUUGGAAACCACCAAUCAUUCUCCAGGGCCAUGAGUUGCUGAGGGAAUAUGAAAGACAGUGGAAUAGUACUCAAGGAAGAAGCCCAAGCCAUGAAAGUCCACCCAGAUGCAGCCUGCUGCUGGGCCUCUGCCUGCCACGCCCGUUCCUGCCUUGACCUUCCACACACUGGUCUCCAAGUCUCAAGUUCUCUACCACGCCUAUUCACUAUGGGAGGGGACUACACCAGGGUGCAAAUAUCAGGAGUGGAAACUUGCUGGGGGCCAGCUGACUGCCACAUCAGGCCAUCGUCACCAAGUCAGCCCCACCUCCGGAUUACUACAUGCCCAUUGCCUCUGCCUUCAGACCAGUGUUACUAGAAGGUUUGCAGCCUGAAGUUGCUCAUUUUAACACCACCAAAGCAAAGUCUGUAAAUUUAUUCUCAAAGAGGGAAAUGCCUUUCUCCCUCUAAAGGUAACCCCUCCGCUAUACCUACUGCUCCAUCCCUCCCCAGUUCAGUUCUUCUGAGGGAGCCUCGCUGCUAAGCAGAUUCAAUCCAGGGAAAACCCCUCUGCCUGCUCCUCACCUCUGCCCUGCCCUGUCUGUCUCACCGUUUGACUAACACCUCCCUUGACUCCCACAUUUCCUGGAGAACACCUGUUUGCCGUGGACUUUGGACAUUUCAUCUGACUCAACCCUCUGAUGUUUAUGUACUUUUAAUUUCUAUGACUUAACAUAGCUGACUCAUCGCUGCCUUGUGUGUGUUUUGCUUCCUUCUCUGAUUGGUGGUUCAACUGAUUCACACAGCCUGAUAUCAGGCGAAUGUGUCCUAGCAACUGCAGCUUGGCACGCUCCUCCAAUUUAUUUAUUUAUUUAUUUAUUUAUUUGGUGAGGAAGACUGGCUCUGAGCUAACAUCCAUGCCCAUCUUCCUCUACUUUCUAUGUGGGACGCCUACCACAGCAUGGCUCGCCAAGUGGUGCCAUGUCCACACCCGGGAUCCAAACCAGUGAACCCUGGGCCACCAAAGCGGAACUUGCGCAAUUAACGGCUGUGCCACCAGGCCGGCCCCCAGGAGAAUUUCUUGGUGUAGGAGCACUCUCCCAGGAUACAAGAGUUAGUAUCCUGGCAAGGACCAGGAGAUAAUGCAAAAUUGCUGCCAGGGGCCUCCUAGAAGCCUGGGAAAGUGAGGGCCAAUGAAAAGUGAGGUUGAAUUGUCUAAAUUUCUGGGGUCGACAGUAGAGGAAAGGAUUAAAAGACUCAGAAAAGUGGAUGAGCUGGAAUAGAUAUAUCAUGUUAGGCCAGAAGAUGCACCAGAGGAUUGGGCUCCACAGGAUGGCUCAGAGGAAUCACAUUCAUCAAAGCUCUCAGAAACAUACUGGUGAGAGGACACCAAUGUCACUAAGAAGUUCAGUCAUGCUUCCCCUGAAGGACAUAACUGAUGGAAGGAGGGCCUGUCCUGGAACCUGGCUCGCUAACACCAACAGGGAUGAUAGGCCCCUGAUGCAAUAGACACCAUGUAAUGGCCCUUCACGGCAGAAGCCAGGGGCUCGUAGCAACAAAGGCAGAGUGGCAGCCAGGGGGCCUGACCUGUAGAGAGCUGUAGAGACUGUGAAUAGAACAGAGUUUCCCUAGAAGGAAAACAGAUGUGUAGCAUACAAAAUACUGUUUAACAUAUGCAAUCUAAAGAGAACAAGAAUUGAUAAGCAGGACAAUGAGGAGGACAGUUACCCCAAUAAAAAGUCACAAUUCCUGUCCCGGUUUCCAUACUUGAACGAAUGUACAGACUCAGAACCAAGUAACUGAAGAGGUGGCCAGGUCCCCAGGGAGAAGAACCUGCAACACAAUGGCAAGAAUGAGCUAUGGUUGUUCCUCCAGUCCUUCCCCAAGGAGAUCUACAGCAUUUAUGGGGAUGACAGAACACUGGGCAGGGAGUACCCAGACAUUUUGGUGACUGUUGGGCACAAGGUCAGAGGUCGACUGAUACUCUGCCAACUGAAGCAUCUUCAUGACCCCCGUGUUAGAGUGGGAGCAAAUAGGUCCAUCUUACGACAGGUCCCCUGGGUCCAUGAAUGCACUGGUUGUCAUUCCUCUAGCUCCAAAAUGUAUAGUUGGCAUUGACGUACUUGGAAGUCGGGCUAACCCUCUAUUGCAUCCUUGUGAUCCUUCCGUACUGUGAUAGCUCUCACCUGUUAAUGUACCCAGCCUUUGUCAGAGCCCCCUCUCCCCUCACUGCUGUAUGAUGGGUGCCUGAACAAAGAGGCUAUGGUGGCAGAGAUGGAGGUGAUGUACGGACUGUCAUUUGCCCAAAUGAACACAGUUACUGCCACCUCUGAAUGUCCAAUCUACCAGCCAUAAAGACCAAUGCUAAGUUCUAUUCUUUAAGGAGACCAAUAGGCUACUUGGUGACCAGUUGACUACAUUGGGCCCCUUUUGUCCUGGACGGGCCAGCUGUUUGCUCUGACUGGAAUAGACAAUGAUUCUGGGUAUGGGGUUGCCUUUCCUGCCUGAAGGACCUCAAUAGCACCACUCUCUGGGGGCUUAAAGAUCGCCUGAUCCACAGACAUGGAAUCCCACAUAACAUAGCAUCUGACUAGAGGACUCUCUUGAUGGCACAGGAAAUGGGGGAGUGGUCCAUGAACAUGGGAUCCGCUGGUCAUAUCACACACCUCACCAACCAGGAGCUAUUGGAUAGAUAAAGUACUGGAAUGGCCAGUUAAAGAUGCAGCUCAAGCUCCAGCAUCAAGGCAGAACACUGCAGUGAUGACAUCUUCUCCAGGAUAUCAUCGGAUAUGUGGUCAAUCAGACAACUUAAUAUGGUACUGUGUCCCCAAGAGUAAGAAUACAUGAGUCCUGAAACAAUGGAUAGAAGCUUGAGUGGCCCCCAUUAGCAUCAUUCCAAUGACCCACUUGGUUCCCUGUCCCCACAACUCUGGGCUCUGCAGAGUUAGAGAUCUUAGUCUCCAAAAGGGGCACAUUCUCAACUGGAGCACAGCAAAGGUCCCAUUGGACAAUUUAUGGCUGCCACCAGGCACUUUGGCCUCCAAAUGGUCAGAGACUAGCAGGUAAAGCAAGGAAUCGCUGUGUUAUCAGAGGCAAAUUGACUUGGUCAGCAGGAGGAGUUUUCUUUCAGGAAGAGUGGCCCAUCAGAACUCUGAAGGAGCUGUUCCCUGAAUACGGAUGGAGAAAUUGAUCCACGUGGCACAAAGGGUGCACAAUAGCGGAUUCCUCAGGGCACCAAUGGGUUACUCAGAUCCUCCUUCAAGCCAGGCCUUGCUGCUCAUCUGCAAGGAGUAUGUUUAGCUGAUAGUCUCCAGCUUUAGCUCCUUCAGGAUCCGCCCCACGGUUUGAGCUGAAGUCACACAUUUCUUCAUGGCCGCCACCAAUGACCAAGCAAGGCAGGAGUACAAGGGCCUGGGCCUUUCUGCCCAAGGCUAGACUCCUGCUCCCCAUCGGGCUGGCAGAGACUUUGUCAAGUCUGCACCACCAUCUGACAGCUCACACAGAUCAGUCCUGCCUCUUCCGUUGACUUUCUCUGUUUUACGCUCCAGGAAAUCUUCUGUACUCUUAAUUCCAUAUCAGUAUCUGCUUCUCGGAGAAGCCAACCUGUGACAACACAAAUUUUAGUAUUUCCCCAAAUGUCUGCUUUUCCCUUCCCACAACCCCCUACAUGGUUUUACGUGGCCUUGAAUUGAUGGGAUUUUAUAACUCUAUUCCUAACCACUCUGGCCAAACCAUGCUCUUUCUUUUCUAAUCUCCUAUAAACCCACUGUAAUAUUCAACCACUGAUUCCCUUG